RNAcentral lists this ribosomal RNA (460 nucleotides) under uncultured bacterium. RNAcentral describes it as "partial 16S ribosomal RNA". It matches the Rfam family "Bacterial small subunit ribosomal RNA", at positions 338 to 795 of the family's 1533-position model. The record is from RNAcentral.
CCUACGGGCGGCAGCAGUGAGGAAUAUUGGACAAUGGGCGGGAGCCUGAACCAGCCAAGUCGCGGGAAGGAAGAAGGUACUUAGUAUUGUAAACUUCUUUUGUAGGGGAACAAAGGAGGAGACGCGUCUCCGGAUGAGUGUACCCGAAGAAAAAGCAUCGGCUAACUCCGUGCCAGCAGCCGCGGUAAUACGGAGGAUGCGAGAGUUAUCCGGAUUUAUUGGGUUUAAAGGGUGCGCAGGCGGUAUGUCAAGUCAAGGGUGAAAUCCCCGCGCUCAACGUGGGAACUGCCUUUGAAACUGGCAAACUGGAGUGUGUGAGAGGAUAGUGGAAUUCCAGGUGUAGGAGUGAAAUCCGUAGAUAUCUGGAGGAACAUCAGUGGCGACGGCGACUAUCUGGCACAUAACUGACGCUGAGGAGCGAAAGCGUGGGUAGCAAACAGGAUUAGAUACCCCGGUAGUC